Molecule: transfer RNA, 66 nt
Filed under: Cysteochila chiniana
Lineage: Eukaryota; Metazoa; Arthropoda; Insecta; Hemiptera; Tingidae
Description: tRNA-Met
Source: RNAcentral
AAAAAGGUAAGCUAAAAUCAAGCUAUUAGGUUCAUACCCUAAAUAUAGAUCUAUAUCUCCUUUUUA